AUUGAACGCUGGCGGCAUGCCUUACACAUGCAAGUCGAACGGCAGCACGGGUGCUUGCACCUGGUGGCGAGUGGCGAACGGGUGAGUAAUACAUCGGAACAUGUCCUGUAGUGGGGGAUAGCCCGGCGAAAGCCGGAUUAAUACCGCAUACGAUCUACGGAUGAAAGCGGGGGACCUUCGGGCCUCGCGCUAUAGGGUUGGCCGAUAGCUGAUUAGCUAGUUGGUGGGGUAAAGGCCUACCAAGGCGACGAUCAGUAGCUGGUCUGAGAGGACGACCAGCCACACUGGGACUGAGACACGGCCCAGACUCCUACGGGAGGCAGCAGUGGGGAAUUUUGGACAAUGGGCGAAAGCCUGAUCCAGCAAUGCCGCGUGUGUGAAGAAGGCCUUCGGGUUGUAAAGCACUUUUGUCCGGAAAGAAAUCCUUGGCUCUAAUACAGUCGGGGGAUGACGGUACCGGAAGAAUAAGCACCGGCUAACUACAUG
This 486-nucleotide ribosomal RNA is filed under the name uncultured bacterium. RNAcentral's name for it is "partial 16S ribosomal RNA". It matches the Rfam family "Bacterial small subunit ribosomal RNA", at positions 30 to 507 of the family's 1533-position model. The record is from RNAcentral.